This 814-nucleotide long non-coding RNA is filed under the name Olea europaea subsp. europaea. Lineage: Eukaryota; Viridiplantae; Streptophyta; Magnoliopsida; Lamiales; Oleaceae. The record is from RNAcentral.
CAAAAAAAGAAUGGGUUGUAAGAAGGGCUAAAUAAUAAUGGAAAAUGAAAAUAUGCCAGCCGGCAAAGUGAAUGCAAAAAGCAAAAGAAUUGGUGGACGGUGAGAACAUUGCGCGAUAUUCGAGAAUUAUCUGUCCAUAAAAAAUAUAAUUUGCUGGAUCAUUUGACUAAUUCUUGUAGAGAGGGGGAGUGAGAAUCGGAGAAAGUGCGAUCGAUGAAUGAGAAACCCACCCAGCCUUGUUUCACUUGCAAUCGACUCUGCUGUUUUUAACCUGUCUAGCAUUUGAGAUCUAUCAUUUCUCCCUGAGCAGAUUCUUCUUGAGCUCUUCUUGGUACGUUUCACUUCACACACUCCAGAACAUGUUCCCCUUUUGUAUAUGUAUGUUGGUGUAAUUGUGUGCAUAAGUGUAAUUACUUUAUGUGCCCUUUUGAUAAUCUGUGAUCGGUUUGUCUUGAUCUGACGAAUCGAUUAAAAAAUUAUGACGUGAAUUGGGAUUGUUGUUUUGUUCUUUUAUUUCGUUUUUGCGCUCUCCUUUGUCGGGAUAUUUAGAUCGAAGAUUUAUUCUGACCAUUAGAGAAAGAUAAGGAAAUGAAUUAGUAAAUGGAAGUAUAGGCGAUACAAGUUUUGGGUUGGAUACCUUUUGUCCUCCUUUAGGAAAUGAAAUUAAACGCCAUUGUAUAUUUUCUUUGUUUUACUAGUUGCUUUCGUUAAUCGACUUUCAAGUUAUGAAUUUUAUAUGACGAGAUUCAAGAUCUUCUCACAAAUAGCCAUUUGGUACUGGUGCAAAGUAGUUAGCAUUUUAAUUCAUAGGUUG